Molecule: unclassified non-coding RNA, 462 nt
Filed under: Hevea brasiliensis (rubber tree)
Lineage: Eukaryota; Viridiplantae; Streptophyta; Magnoliopsida; Malpighiales; Euphorbiaceae
Source: RNAcentral
GAUACAUGGGCAAAAUUCAACUAACCAUGUAUUCGCUUUUCCAUUGACUCUCUUUAAUCUGUGUUUAUAUUUUUUAAAGUCGGUGACUUCAAUUCACAUGCAUGCUAAGAACCGUAGUUUAAUGCAAUAGAUUUACAUCUUAAAAAAAUCACACGGUCUUGUUUGUUUUAGGAACAGGGCAUAGAUGUCAUGAGUGGUACUAAUCAUGAAUCUUCUAGCGUGGUACCUGUUGGUUCCUUCAAGAGAGAGCCCAAAAAGUAAGCAAGGUAUAAUCUACAUACUUCAUAAUUCAUGAAGUCUGGUUCACAUCCUUUCCUCCAUUCGUUAUCAAGUUUAUGUAUAGGCUGAUGUCAUGGGAAAGAUUCAAGUUAGCUUUUAAAAUUCAUUCCUCAAACUAAUGGACAGACAUCACCUGUUAUCUAAAAUUUAAAGCUGUACUGCUUUUAAUAUGCCAAGUGUGCC